UACGGGGGGGGCAAGCGUUGUUCGGAAUUACUGGGCGUAAAGGGCUUGUAGGUGGCCAACUAAGUCGGAUGUGAAAUCCCCAGGCUUAACCUGGGAACUGCAUCCGAUACUGGAUGGCUUGAAUCCGGGAGAGGGAUGCAGAAUUCCAGGUGUAGCGGUGAAAUGCGUAGAUAUCUGGAGGAAUACCGGUGGCGAAGGCGGCAUCCUGGACCGGCAUUGACGCUGAUGAGCGAAAGCUAGGGGAGCAAACGGG
RNAcentral lists this ribosomal RNA (253 nucleotides) under uncultured bacterium. RNAcentral's name for it is "partial 16S ribosomal RNA". It matches the Rfam family "Bacterial small subunit ribosomal RNA", at positions 524 to 776 of the family's 1533-position model. The record is from RNAcentral.